AUACGAGUGUGGGAAACAGCAGUGAUUCUAUCCCACGUCUUUCAUCAUGAGAUCCUAGUGCCCCCCAGAGUCUGACUAAUAAAAUCACUGAGACCAAGAUCCAACAAAUGGGCUCUCUGCUGAAACAGAUGGAAAUAUCUCAUGGCAUGGAGCUUGGGCUUCCCUCUAUCAGCUGUCCAAAGUAAUCCAGGUCAAAUGACCAAGGCAUGGAUAUUGCAGAUUCUUCCUAAGUUGGAAAAAGAAUUGGUCAAAUGAGGGCAGGAAUGAAUUAAUAAGAAGCAAUGGUGUGGAUCUGCAGAUUUGUGGAGUGAAUGCAUUCCAGGUGUCUUGUCAUCUGCUACAGCAGCACAGGUACCCUUGUUGAGUAAACCAAAAGAUUAAUGAAGUUCUUGAGGCCUUGUAAUUCAGCUCUGCUGCAGACCCAAAACUGAUGCGUGAAGUGAGCCCUUCCAGCUGUUUCACCAAAUCAUCUGUAGGGAACAAGGUAACUUUGAUUAGUGACUCUGACAAGUGGUCUGGAGCUUUUUUCUUAGUAAUGAAGAAAAGAAAUGGGGAAUCAGUUGCUGAUUAUGACUGUUGUGCAGAGUUUUGAAAUAAAACCAGUGGUAUGUGGCUGAACUUGCCUGAU
RNAcentral lists this long non-coding RNA (628 nucleotides) under Parus major (Great Tit). Its description in RNAcentral is "lncRNA (ENSPMJG00000016467.1)". The record is from RNAcentral. Lineage: Eukaryota; Metazoa; Chordata; Aves; Passeriformes; Paridae.